GAGCUAUAGGAGUCCACAUGCAAAGGGGGCAGAGAGAGGGUCUAGGAAUGAAAGGUGGUCCCCAGCUGGCAAAAUAAUAGGGAGAGCAGUCUUGCAACAGCAAGAAACUAGGUUCUGCCGACAAUCUGAAUGGGCCUGGAAGUGGAUUCUUCCCAUGACCAACCAAUUAGAGCCACCUGGACAACACCUUGACUUUCACCCUGGCAAGACCCUGGGUGGAGAAAACCAGUCCAGCUGUCUGGACCCUGGACCUGUAAAGCUGUGAGAUCUUAGAGGCUGAGUGACUGGAGCCCCAGGGGCCUCUUGACCCUGGACUUUCCCAGUGGGUGAAAGACAGCUGUUCCCUGGAGAAGAAACAGGUCCUCGUGUCUGCUCCCUGUAUGCAGCCCCCUCAGAGCACUGUUUACAAAAACCAAGACAUGGGAGCAACCUGAAUGUCCAUCGACAGAUGAGCGGACAAAGACGAUGCGGUACACAUACACAGUGGAAUACUACUCAUCCCUAAAAAAGUAAUGCCGUUGGCAGCGACGUGGAUUGCUAGAGAUUAUCAUACUAAGUGAAAGGAAUGGAAUCCAGCCACUACAGAACAAGCUAGAAAUCAAUAGCUGUCUUGCAGACACAUGUAAAGCACAUGUAAAUCAGAUGCAAAUGGACCCAAGACCUAGUAAGACUCUUGGAGGUGGUGAGAAUGAACCCAAGUCAGACACAGCAUGUUAGAAGGGAUGGAACACUGGCUUUCGGUUGCCAGCCAGGAACCACCGGCGCUGUGCAGUUUUACUGGAGUUGUUCCUUGGCAGGAAAGCCCCUCUGUGGGCGUCCUUGUUCCGGCAAGCACAGAUGCACAGGUGUUCCUGCAUCCGUGGCAACGGGCGACAGCGCAGGUAGUGGCUUCGGUGGAAGGCCGUGGAGACCUCAGAGACUGAAUGUACUGAUGGACAGUGGCCAGACCACAUACAAAAAUAGAACUCUGACCCACAGUCUGAAGCAACCAGUUUAGAAAACCAGCUGAUCUGUCUGCAGAAACCAAACAACAACCCGUCUAGCAAUCAGCCUCAAAGAGCCAGGAUUUAAUAACUGACUACUUCCCUAAUUUUGUAUCUUCUUAUAACUUCACACCAACAAAAGAAAGCCAAAUAUGCUCCCCUAACCAAUUACAUAGGAUGUGUGUGUGAGUGUGUGUGUUAAGUCACUUCAGUCGUGUCCGCCCCUUUGCCACCCUAUGGGCCAUAGCCCAUCAGGCUCCUCUGUUCAUGGGAUUUUCCAG
This is a long non-coding RNA of Bos taurus (domestic cattle), 1264 nucleotides long. Lineage: Eukaryota; Metazoa; Chordata; Mammalia; Artiodactyla; Bovidae. The record is from Ensembl.